This 313-nucleotide ribosomal RNA is filed under the name Mallomonas sp. RNAcentral's name for it is "SSU rRNA". It matches the Rfam family "Eukaryotic small subunit ribosomal RNA". The record is from RNAcentral. Lineage: Eukaryota; Synurophyceae; Synurales; Mallomonadaceae.
AACGAGYCUUCCCUUGAUUGAAAAAUCCCKGGUAAUCUUGUAAAUGUGUGUCGUGAUAGGGAUAGAUUAUUGCAAUUAUUAAUCUUGAACGAGGAAUUCCUAGUAAAUGCGAGUCAUCAGCUCGCGUUGAUUACGUCCCUGCCCUUUGUACACACCGCCCGUCGCACCUACCGAUUGAAUGAUUCGGUGAAAAUUCCGGACUGUGGCUCGAUAACCGCGAGGUCGCCUUGCUGUAGGAAGUUAUUUAAACCUCAUCAUUUAGAGGAAGGUGAAGUCGUAACAAGGUUUCCGUAGGUGAACCUGCGGAAGGAUC